This 403-nucleotide ribosomal RNA is filed under the name Verrucomicrobiota bacterium. RNAcentral describes it as "Verrucomicrobia bacterium partial 16S ribosomal RNA". It matches the Rfam family "Bacterial small subunit ribosomal RNA", at positions 355 to 776 of the family's 1533-position model. Lineage: Bacteria; Pseudomonadati; Verrucomicrobiota. The record is from RNAcentral.
UGGGGAAUAUUGCACAAUGGGGGAAACCCUGAUGCAGCGCCGCCGCGUGAGCGAAGAAGGCUUUCGAGUCGUAAAGCUCUGUCCUAUGAGAAGAUAAUGACGGUAUCAUAGGAGGAAGCCCUGGCUAAAUACGUGCCAGCAGCCGCGGUAAUACGUAUGGGGCGAGCGUUGUCCGGAAUUAUUGGGCGUAAAGGGUACGUAGGCGGUUUUUUAAGUCAGGUGUCAAAGCGUGGAGCUUAACUCCAUUAAGCACUUGAAACUGAAAGACUUGAGUGAAGGAGAGGAAAGUGGAAUUCCUAGUGUAGCGGUGAAAUGCGUAGAUAUUAGGAGGAAUACCGGUGGCGAAGGCGACUUUCUGGACUUUUACUGACGCUCAGGUACGAAAGCGUGGGGAGCAAACAGG